Molecule: ribosomal RNA, 468 nt
Filed under: uncultured bacterium
Lineage: Bacteria
Description: partial 16S ribosomal RNA
Rfam family: Bacterial small subunit ribosomal RNA
Source: RNAcentral
GACGAACGCUGGCGGCGUGCUUAACACAUGCAAGUCGAACGGAAAGGCCCUGCUUUUGUGGGGUGCUCGAGUGGCGAACGGGUGAGUAACACGUGAGUAACCUGCCCUUGACUUUGGGAUAACUUCAGGAAACUGGGGCUAAUACCGGAUAGGAGCUCCUGCUGCAUGGUGGGGGUUGGAAAGUUUCGGCGGUUGGGGUUGGACUCGCGGCUUAUCAGCUUGUUGGUGGGGUAGUGGCUUACCAAGGCUUUGACGGGUAGCCGGCAUGAGAGGGUGGCCGGCCACAAUGGGACUGAGGUACGGACCAGACGGCUACGGGAGGCAGCAGUGGGGAGUAUUGCACAAUGGGCGGAAGCCUGAUGCAGCGACGCCGCGUGCGGGAUGACGGCCUUCGGGUUGUAAACCGCUUUCGCCUGUGACGAAGCGUGAGUGACGGUAAUGGGUAAAGAAGCACCGGCUAACUACGUG